Long non-coding RNA from Melitaea cinxia (Glanville fritillary), 275 nucleotides. RefSeq lists it as uncharacterized. Lineage: Eukaryota; Metazoa; Arthropoda; Insecta; Lepidoptera; Nymphalidae. The record is from RefSeq and is a predicted model, not a curated record. The transcript has 2 exons.
ACCUUUUUGUAUUGGCUUUAUUAUUGUGUAGUGUAGUUAUCACACAUAUAUACAUAUACACAAUCAUUUCUUGACGAAGGUCAUCAGCUGUAAUGAUGCUACCAGCUCUGUUGAGAUCUUCCAAGAAUUCGACAGCUAGUGUACCGUUAUAGAGUUCGUCGCCACCCUUCUCAGCUAUUAUAUUGAGCGUUUUGCAGAAAGGCUCGUUAGGUUUCACUAGUGUACCUGGUUUGUGAAAUUUAUUUUUUGCACUAUUAAAGAACAUUUUCCUGUAA